GCGGCAAUAGCUCAGUGGUAGAGCCCCCGCUUCGCGUGCGGGGGGGACCUGGGAUCGAUUCCUGGCUGCUUCC
Molecule: transfer RNA, 73 nt
Filed under: Toxocara canis (dog roundworm)
Lineage: Eukaryota; Metazoa; Nematoda; Chromadorea; Rhabditida; Toxocaridae
Rfam family: tRNA
About the family: Transfer RNA (tRNA) molecules are approximately 80 nucleotides in length. Their secondary structure includes four short double-helical elements and three loops (D, anti-codon, and T loops).
Source: Rfam by way of RNAcentral